ACGGGUGAGUAACACGUGGGAACGUACCCUUCAGUUCGGAAUAACGCUGGGAAACUAGCGCUAAUACCGGAUACGCCCUUAUGGGGAAAGGUUUACUGCCGAAGGAUCGGCCCGCGUCUGAUUAGCUAGUUGGUGGGGUAAUGGCCUACCAAGGCGACGAUCAGUAGCUGGUCUGAGAGGAUGAUCAGCCACACUGGGACUGAGACACGGCCCAGACUCCUACGGGAGGCAGCAGUGGGGAAUAUUGGACAAUGGGCGCAAGCCUGAUCCAGCCAUGCCGCGUGAGUGAUGAAGGCCUUAGGGUUGUAAAGCUCUUUUGUCCGGGACGAUAAUGACGGUACCGGAAGAAUAAGCCCCGGCUAACUUCGUGCCAGCAGCCGCGGUAAUACGAAGGGGGCUAGCGUUGCUCGGAAUCACUGGGCGUAAAGGGCGCGUAGGCGGCCAUUCAAGUCGGGGGUGAAAGCCUGUGGCUCAACCACAGAAUUGCCUUCGAUACUGUUUGGCUUGAGUAUGGCAGAGGUCAGUGGAACUGCGAGUGUAGAGGUGAAAUUCGUAGA
Molecule: ribosomal RNA, 557 nt
Filed under: uncultured Methylobacterium sp.
Lineage: Bacteria; Pseudomonadati; Pseudomonadota; Alphaproteobacteria; Hyphomicrobiales; Methylobacteriaceae
Description: bacterial SSU rRNA
Rfam family: Bacterial small subunit ribosomal RNA
Source: RNAcentral